AUGGCUCGCCCCCACCACCUGACCCUCCUCUCCGUCUUCUCCAUGCUGCUCCUCACGGGCCUUGUGGCUGCUGAUCUGUCCGGAGGGAAUAAAGUCGGGAAGAUUGUGACCAUGACCGUCCAAUACCCGGCCGCGGGCUCGCCGCCGGGGGAGAAGACCACGAUCUCAGCGCACUACGUUGACGAGCACGGGGGCGGCGACCGCCGCUUCAACCUCGACUGUGACGAUGACGAACCCUAA
Molecule: ribosomal RNA, 240 nt
Filed under: Triticum aestivum (bread wheat)
Lineage: Eukaryota; Viridiplantae; Streptophyta; Magnoliopsida; Poales; Poaceae
Description: partial small subunit ribosomal RNA
Source: RNAcentral